RNA transcript from Prunus dulcis (almond), 1856 nucleotides. It is a transcript of the gene named protein SIEVE ELEMENT OCCLUSION B-like, with no coding region annotated. NCBI's taxonomy places the organism in Eukaryota, Viridiplantae, Streptophyta, Magnoliopsida, Rosales, Rosaceae. The transcript is spliced from 7 exons. The record is from RefSeq and is a predicted model, not a curated record.
UAUGAUGACUUGCAUCAUCCUCNAAACAUAGAAGAAAAGACCCCCCAACCAGGCUUCAGUACACCAUUGUGCACACUUAAGUCAAUAGCCUCCGAGACGCAAUGCAAGCCUCCAGGUGAGGAAGUUGCGCACAGCACAACCCUGGCAAUACUGAACAAGCUAUCAAGCUAUUCAUGGGAAGCAAAGGCAGUGCUGACUCUAGCAGCUUUUGCUAUGGAAUAUGGGGAGUUCUGGCUCCUUGCCCAGCUUCGCGAAUCGGACCGACUUGCCAAAUCAAUUGCAAUCCUGAAGCGAGUCCCUGUCCUCCUCAAGCACUCAGACCAGCACAAAAGAAGACAAGCAGUGCUUGAGCUUAACAAUCUGAUCAAGGCUACAUUGCAAGUGAUUGAGUGCAUCGAUCAGUUCGAUAAGCUUUCUAGCUAGGACCCGAAAGAUGUGCCGGGAUUAGCAAUUGCAAUGGACCAUAUUCCAGUGGAUGUGUAUUGGGCUAUUAUGACUGUUGUCGCUUGUGCAACUAAGGUCACUAUUCUCACCAGUGAUGAGGUCAAGGACCAUGAUCUAGCCCCGUUUGCUCAAAAAAUCCACUAUGUCCUAAACAAGCUUAAGAUCCAGCUAAUAGUUUGCAGAAAACAAAUUGAGGAGGCAGAGGCGUACCGGAGGAUAAGGAAAACCUUCCAAACUCCUACUGAGAUUAUGGAGGUUUUCAAGGCCCUCAUCUUUACCAAGGACAAUGUCCAGCCACUCAUUGAUGGUUCUACUAAACAAAUGGUCAAAAUCGAUAUAUUAAGGAGGAAGAAUGUGCUGUUGUUCAUUUCAAGCCUGGACAUCUCUGAUGAUGACAUUUCUAUCCUCAAACCCAUCUAUGAGUUCACCAAGAAAGGGAACCAGCAUAAGAUUGUCUGGGUUCCAGUUGUCGAGCACUGGACCGAUGACCUGCGAAAGAAGUUUGAGACCCUGAGGCGGAAGAUGCCAUGGUACACAGUGCAGAACCCUGCACCCAUAGCAGGAAUCAGGUUCAUCAAGGAGGAGUGGAACUUCAAGGGUAAGCCUGCACUGUGGUGAUGAACCCACAAGGAAAGGUCGAGCAUUCCAACGCUCUCCACAUGAUUCGGAUAUGGGGAGUUAAAGCCUUCCCUUUCACAAAGGCAACAGAAGAAGAACUCUCACAUUCUCACAGAGAUAGAUGGGUGGGCAAUGUAGUCCAAGACAUUCACCCAUCUCUUCCCAAUUGGAUCAAAGAGGAAAAAUACAUCUUCUUCUAUGGAGGCAAAGACAACGACUGGAUUCAGCAAUUCACAAAGAAAGCAAGUGCCCUCGCAAACGACCCCGUUUUCAAGGAAACAAAGAUUUACAUCGAGUUUUGUGUGGGGAAGGGAAGCAAAGGAGAAGAUGACCAUGGCAUUCUAGGACACUUCUGGUCCGGCAUAGAAAGCCUCUUCUUCACCAAGGGCCACAAGCAAGUCGACCCAGUCACUCAAGAAAUCCAGAAGCUGCUUUCUUACAAAAACGAAAGUGGAUGGGCUGUGCUCAGCAAAGGGUCUUCUGUGUUGCUCACUGGCCAUGGAGUCUCAAUCUUAAGGGUCAUAGAGGACUUUGAUAAAUGGAAGGACCAUGUGAAAGAGAAAGGCUUUGAGUUUUGUUUCAAAGCAUACCAUGAGAAUGUUCGUCUUGCAACUCGACCUUGCUGCCGCCUAGAUAUUCCAGGCUCUACCGGGAAGGUCCCGGACACAAUGAAAUGCCCAGAUUGCCACCGUAGCAUGGAGACUUUUAUCAGUUACAAGUGCUGCCACAUUGAUGGCCCUAAUGCACAUCAUUAAAUUAAGUUUAUGUGGCUAAUCAGUUAAUUAACUAGUAUA